GGAAGGAUGGCCGAGUGGUUUAAGGCGUAGCACCGGAAAUGCUAAGUAGAUUAAUGUUUACCGAGGGUUCGAAUCCCUCUCCUUCCU
This 87-nucleotide transfer RNA is filed under the name Marsilea mutica. Its description in RNAcentral is "tRNA-Ser". It matches the Rfam family "tRNA". From Rfam's summary of the family: Transfer RNA (tRNA) molecules are approximately 80 nucleotides in length. Their secondary structure includes four short double-helical elements and three loops (D, anti-codon, and T loops). Lineage: Eukaryota; Viridiplantae; Streptophyta; Polypodiopsida; Salviniales; Marsileaceae. RNAcentral also lists the same sequence under 1 other name. The record is from RNAcentral.